This 432-nucleotide ribosomal RNA is filed under the name uncultured bacterium. RNAcentral's name for it is "bacterial SSU rRNA". It matches the Rfam family "Bacterial small subunit ribosomal RNA", at positions 358 to 782 of the family's 1533-position model. The record is from RNAcentral.
GGAAUUUUGGACAAUGGGGGCAACCCUGAUCCAGCCAUGCCGCGUGAGUGAAGAAGGCCUUCGGGUUGUAAAGCUCUUUCGGCCGGGAAGAAAUCGCAUGGGUUAAUACCCUGUGUGGAUGACGGUACCGGCAUAAGAAGCACCGGCUAACUACGUGCCAGCAGCCGCGGUAAUACGUAGGGUGCGAGCGUUAAUCGGAAUUACUGGGCGUAAAGCGUGCGCAGGCGGUUUGGUAAGACAGGCGUGAAAUCCCCGGGCUUAACCUGGGAACUGCGCUUGUGACUGCCUCACUAGAGUACGGCAGAGGGGGGUGGAAUUCCACGUGUAGCAGUGAAAUGCGUAGAGAUGUGGAGGAACACCGAUGGCGAAGGCAGCCCCCUGGGCCGAUACUGACGCUCAUGCACGAAAGCGUGGGUAGCAAACAGGAUUAGA